This is a long non-coding RNA of Amyelois transitella, 538 nucleotides long. RefSeq lists it as uncharacterized. The transcript has 3 exons. NCBI's taxonomy places the organism in Eukaryota, Metazoa, Arthropoda, Insecta, Lepidoptera, Pyralidae. The record is from RefSeq and is a predicted model, not a curated record.
GUGUACUCCGUAAGAUUACAUGAUAUUAUUUAUGUACAUGUAUGUUCACUGUUCUCAUGUAUUUCAAUAAAAUAUUGAUGUCCUAUUUAAAUUCAUGUAAAAACCCACCUAAACAUAUAAUGGUAAAUCCUACAGCACCUAGUAUUUUUUUUCUAAUAUAAAAUCGUCAUGUCAUACAUGUUUAGUAAAUUAUUGUCAUCAUGAUGUAGGUUUUUUCCUAUACAAUGGCACCUCAGUGAGACUGAGUACUGAAGUUAUUGUUGAACUUUAGCUACACGUUUCAAUCCAUCGGAAGAGGUUUGGCAUAACAAAGGCUGUGGAUUUUAUAACAGUAACUUGGAUGACUGCACAAAUGGAUUAUUAUCGUGCCCGCAACCACAACCGCAACUUUAUCCACGUGUGAGAAGCGCGGGUACUCGCAUUCGACGUUCAAACGCGGAAUGAGUUCGCGGAGUCGGCUCUGCGUAUACGCUGAUAGCCCAACGUUGGUUCGUACAACGAGUUUCACACCAAAUGCGACCUGGUAAGAUGGUCCGGG